CUUCAUUGUUUACAUCCAGAUGUUUGAAUCGGAUGUAAUUUUACCCCAGGCAUGACCGAUCCAUAUUAAUGUACUGUAAUUAAUAUCAAACAACAACAAUUAUGAUCUAGUGCAAAACUUUGAUUUUACUUUGAUUUUAAGGGAAGUGAAAAUACAUAUCUGAAACACGGAUGUUUAAUAGAUGAUAGAUUUUUACGUAUGACAAGGAAAAAAUAAACAACAAUAACUCAUCAACAGUAAAG
This 242-nucleotide long non-coding RNA is filed under the name Mytilus galloprovincialis (Mediterranean mussel). Lineage: Eukaryota; Metazoa; Mollusca; Bivalvia; Mytilida; Mytilidae. The record is from RNAcentral.